This 342-nucleotide ribosomal RNA is filed under the name Triticum aestivum (bread wheat). RNAcentral describes it as "partial small subunit ribosomal RNA". The record is from RNAcentral. Lineage: Eukaryota; Viridiplantae; Streptophyta; Magnoliopsida; Poales; Poaceae.
AUGGCGAGAUACUGGUGUAGUUGUUCCCUUGACCGUCGAUCUCUGCAUUGGCUUGACUGGGAGACACUUGCAACCCCGAAAGUGAAGGGAGGGAUGGGAUUUAGAGACCUGCAGCUCUUCAACCUAUCUCUCCUCGGAAAUCAUGGAUGGAGACUUAUCACGAGUCCGAAUUCGCUUUGUGCGUGAGUGCUCAAAGGUAAGUACUUCCCGAAUACCGACUUCCUGGGCGCUAGAGCGCAACCGCACGCUUCGGCUACCUGGCGAGCUAUUCUGGCAGGCAGGGAAGCAUUGGAGGCUGGUUUGAUCAAGAGAAUUGGUGAUGGUAUGACGGUCUCGAUCUGA